GGGACACGUGGUAUCCUGUCUGAAUAUGGGGGGACCAUCCUCCAAGGCUAAAUACUCCUGACUGACCGAUAGUGAACCAGUACCGUGAGGGAAAGGCGAAAAGAACCCCGGCGAGGGGAGUGAAAAAGAACCUGAAACCGUGUACGUACAAGCAGUGGGAGCCUCUUUAUGGGGUGACUGCGUACCUUUUGUAUAAUGGGUCAGCGACUUAUAUUCUGUAGCAAGGUUAACCGAAUAGGGGAGCCGAAGGGAAACCGAGUCUUAACUGGGCGUUAAGUUGCAGGGUAUAGACCCGAAACCCGGUGAUCUAGCCAUGGGCAGGUUGAAGGUUGGGUAACACUAACUGGAGGACCGAACCGACUAAUGUUGAAAAAUUAGCGGAUGACUUGUGGCUGGGGGUGAAAGGCCAAUCAAACCGGGAGAUAGCUGGUUCUCCCCGAAAGCUAUUUAGG
Molecule: ribosomal RNA, 452 nt
Filed under: Escherichia coli
Lineage: Bacteria; Pseudomonadati; Pseudomonadota; Gammaproteobacteria; Enterobacterales; Enterobacteriaceae
Description: partial 23S ribosomal RNA
Rfam family: Bacterial large subunit ribosomal RNA
Source: RNAcentral